AACGAACGCUGGCGGCAUGCCUAACACAUGCAAGUCGAACGAGACCUUCGGGUCUAGUGGCGCACGGGUGCGUAACGCGUGGGAACCUGCCCUUAGGUUCGGAAUAACUCCCCGAAAGGGGUGCUAAUACCGGAUAAUGUCUUCGGACCAAAGAUUUAUCGCCUUUGGAUGGGCCCGCGUUGGAUUAGCUAGUUGGUAGGGUAAAAGCCUACCAAGGCGACGAUCCAUAGCGGGUCUGAGAGGAUGAGCAGCCACACUGGGACUGAGACACGGCCCAGACUCCUACGGGAGGCAGCAGUGGGGAAUAUUGGACAAUGGGCGAAAGCCUGAUCCAGCAAUGCCGCGUGAGUGAUGAAGGCCUUAGGGUUGUACAGCUCUUUUACCCGGGAUGAUAAUGACAGUACCGGGAGAAUAAGCUCCGGCUAACUCCGUG
Molecule: ribosomal RNA, 433 nt
Filed under: uncultured bacterium
Lineage: Bacteria
Description: partial 16S ribosomal RNA
Rfam family: Bacterial small subunit ribosomal RNA
Source: RNAcentral